CCAGCAACAUGGUCGGUUCUUUCCUCGACUUUCACUCUUGAGCUCGCAUUCCAUACGACCUUCAAUCCCCCGUUGCAUCUAUUUCACUCACCAACUGUUGAUUUAUCAGGUAAUUUCAAAAUCCCCCAAAUUGGAAAACCCUAAUCUUUAAAUAGUUUGAUUCAUUGCUUUGCAGUUCUAAAUCAAAUAUUCUCAUUACGACAUUGAGCGAAAGAAAUGCAUGAAAAAUGAUACAUCUUCUGAUUGAGUGUAUUUUUCAUAGCUACUAUAAUGUUUGGUGUGAAAUCGCAUAUUAUUUUUCGAUGAAUAAUUCAACUUGUACAAAUUCGUAAAUAAUUUUAUAUGUAUAAUAAACUUGUACCAAGUGGAAAAUGAUGGACCAGCGAGUUGAUGAAGGGUGUUGAUUAAUUUAUAGAUUUUGCACUAUUGCAAGAUAGUUUUAUAUCCAUGGCAAGAUAUAGUACAAUGCCCGAGUUGAAGGUGAAAUUUUUACGUACAAUUUGACGAAAGGACUCACCUAUAUAUAGGUUUUGUUUUGUCCCGAACGAUUGUUUUUCGCCGCUGUCAUAUAUUAACGUAGAAAUUGAAUCAAUACGGUGAAUGUUUUUUGUCUACCGAAUAUUGUUACUUACCGAGCUUUUGGUCUCUAGAGUUAUAUAACACAUGUCUUGUAGUGCGUUUUUUCUAAUAUGCGAAGCGUAUACAAUUUCAUUUAUAUGAAUGAGAGCAAAUAGAUAAUAGUAAACGAACGUUGAAUCAAUAUCGAAGAUAGCCGAAACAGAACUAAAGAAGAAGAAAAUAACAUUUAUACAUGUUGCUACAUUUAACAUGUAUAAGAAACUAGAUUUAAUAAUGGUUUACUUUCGUAGUUUUCCAUGACAUCCGAUCCGUCUCGAAUUUUCGUUUUCCUAUCUUUUCCUUCUCAUUUGAGUUAUUAUAUGUAAGUCGAUUACUCUGUUUUAUUAAUCUCUUUGAUUUUUGUUGCCAUGAAUGCAAGUAUAAGAUUUCUAAUCUCCAUAUAUAUAUUUGGCCCCUCAGCUUCCUAUAACUUGCAUUUAAGAUUUUUCCAUUGCAAAUUAUAUUGCACCAACUAUUGCAUUGCACAAAUUAUCACCAACUAGUGCAAUGCUAUAGAUUAAUAUGCAAUAAAAUUCUUCAAUAAAAAAAUCCCACCUGCGAUAAUUUGAUAAAUGAUCAAGAUUCUUGUUUCAGGACACAGCAAUGCCCACAAAGCGACUUUUCUCCUUCUUCCUCAAUCGGCUCAAAGCUACGCCAUCCGUUUCUGUCAGCCGACGUAUCGAAAACGUG
This 1308-nucleotide long non-coding RNA is filed under the name Erythranthe guttata (spotted monkey flower). RNAcentral's name for it is "long non-coding RNA (EGUT_LNC002687)". Lineage: Eukaryota; Viridiplantae; Streptophyta; Magnoliopsida; Lamiales; Phrymaceae. The record is from RNAcentral.